GAUCCUGGCUCAGAAUCAACGCUGGCGGCGUGCCUAACACAUGCAAGUMGCACGAGAAAGGGRAGCAAUCCAUGAGUAAAGUGGCGMMCGGGUGAGUAACACGUGACUAACCUACCUUCGAGUGGGGAAUAACAUAGGGAAACCURRGCUAAUACCGCAUAACAUCUMAAGRUCAAAGSAGCAAUGCGCUUGAAGAGGRGKUCGCGGCUGAUUAGUUAGUUGGCGGGGUAAUGGCCCACCAAGGCGAUGAUCGGUAUCCGGCCUGAGAGGGCGCACGGACACACUGGAACUGAAACACGGUCCARACUCCUACRGGAGGCAGCAG
Molecule: ribosomal RNA, 325 nt
Filed under: uncultured Acidobacteriota bacterium
Lineage: Bacteria; Pseudomonadati; Acidobacteriota
Description: uncultured Acidobacteria bacterium partial 16S ribosomal RNA
Rfam family: Bacterial small subunit ribosomal RNA
Source: RNAcentral